AGUGAACGCUGGCGGUAGGCCUAACACAUGCAAGUCGAACGGCAGCACGGGAGAGCUUGCUCUCUGGGUGGCGAGUGGCGGACGGGUGAGGAAUACAUCGGAAUCUACUCUGUCGUGGGGGAUAACGUAGGGAAACUUACGCUAAUACCGCAUACGACCUACGGGUGAAAGCAGGGGACCUUCGGGCCUUGCGCGAAUGAAUGAGCCGAUGUCGGAUUAGCUAGUUGGCGGGGUAAAGGCCACCAAGGCGACGAUCCGUAGCUGGUUUGAGAGGAUGAUCAGCCACACUGGAACUGAGACACGGUACAGACUCCUACGGGAGGCAGCAGUGGGGAAUAUUGGACAAUGGGCGCAAGCCUGAUCCAGCCAUACCGCGUGGGUGAAGAAGGCCUUCGGGUUGUAAAGCCCUUUUGUUGGGAAAGAAAUCCAGCUGGCUAAUACCCGGUUGGGAUGACGGUACCCAAAGAAUAAGCACCGGCUAACUUCGUGCCAGCCGCCGCCGCAG
This 505-nucleotide ribosomal RNA is filed under the name uncultured bacterium. RNAcentral describes it as "partial 16S ribosomal RNA". It matches the Rfam family "Bacterial small subunit ribosomal RNA", at positions 29 to 523 of the family's 1533-position model. The record is from RNAcentral.